GUAAAUUCGACGGAACUACCAGUACUCCCUCCGAAGGCGGAGGCCACACGUUCGAAUCGUGUCGGGUGCGCCA
RNAcentral lists this transfer RNA (73 nucleotides) under Xanthobacter flavus. Its description in RNAcentral is "tRNA-OTHER". Lineage: Bacteria; Pseudomonadati; Pseudomonadota; Alphaproteobacteria; Hyphomicrobiales; Xanthobacteraceae. The record is from RNAcentral.